GAAAAAAUAGUGAAAAAAAAAAGAAAAGAAAUCGAGAUGGAGGCACAACUUCAGUGUAGUGUAAACAUGGGAUGUGUCUGCCUGGCUGUCAUAUGCCUCUCUUCCUUUUUUUUUAUUGUAUUUGUGUGUGUUUGCUUUUCCCCUCCUCAUAUUCGC
Molecule: non-coding RNA, 156 nt
Filed under: Palpitomonas bilix
Lineage: Eukaryota
Source: RNAcentral